This is a long non-coding RNA of Daucus carota subsp. sativus, 1434 nucleotides long. RefSeq lists it as uncharacterized. The transcript has 7 exons. The record is from RefSeq and is a predicted model, not a curated record. Lineage: Eukaryota; Viridiplantae; Streptophyta; Magnoliopsida; Apiales; Apiaceae.
AUCGUCCCACUAUUUACCAAAUAAUUCCCCUGCCUUACAAUUAUUUCCCACCCCCAAACCUUUUCAGCAGCUAAAAAUAAUAAAAAGAAAUAAACACACUCACCUCACAUUCUCACCACGACUUUCUCAAAAUCAUGUCUCUCUCUCGACUCUCUAACCUCUAUAAAGCUCAUGCUAUCUUCAACAAAUUUAAUCGAGGUUGAAUCUGCUCUCUCUACAAAAUCUUCCAAGGUUAAAGCUGCUCUCUCGGUGUAUAAAGGUCGAAAUCUCGGUUAGAUUACAAGUCCAAUAAGAAGUAAACAUGGCAGCUCAGGCAAAUCAUAAGCUUCAGCACGGUGGUGAAUAAGCAUUCUGAAGCUGAUAUUUUUGAGAGCGCUGGCUCGUAUGCUGGAGUAUUUGUCUGGCAGUUUAUCAGCAAGUAUUAGCAAGUAUUGUGUGGACUAAUUCAAAUGACUUUGGUACCAAAUCCUUUGUUCGACCUUGCUGGUAUAAUGUGUGGACAAUUUGGAAUUCCUUUCUGGCAGUUUUUUCUUGCUACAUCAGUUGGAAAAGCAAUUAUUAAAACUCACUUACAGGUUUGUGAAGGUCUUUUCUUCACAAAAGUUUAUGCUCAGCUGGAAUUUGAUGCUAGCUAUGUUUAUGAGGAUGUUAAUCGCUCAAUUCAGUAUGUUCAUCGAAGUGGUUUGGUUCACAUAGGAAUUCUAUCUGAUCCCCAAAGAUACCUUGUAAAAAAUCAGUGUCUUAUGUAGUGUCACAUGUGUAACACGCAUGGCCAGCUUCUGCAAUUUCUAGGAACAGAGUUCCCAAACAGCAAAGAGCUUGGGAUAUUUUAAAAGAGCAAGGAAAGAAGCUUUUCUUGAUGACUAACUCACUAUCUUAUUUUGUUGAUGGAGGAAUGCGCUUUAUGUUGGAGGUGAUUAGUGUAAUAUUGCAUCUUGCAAAUUUACCAUGGAUGCCUCAAAAGUUUCUGACAAAUCACAAAGUGGAAAGGUCUAGAGGUGAUUUACUUCGGGGAUCACCUUUUCAGCGACCUAAGAGGACCUUCCAAGGCUGGAUGGCUGGUGCAAUAAUCCACGAACUAGAAGUAUGACUUCCAUCCUUCGCACAAGUUUGGGCCCAUUUGGGCGCAACAAUUCAAAGUAGCCGAAGCUUUAUCUGCACCAAAUUGACCUUAAAUAUUUUUAUAGGAAGUGUAGAAUUUGCUUACCAAACAAGACCUUGUAAUGUUUGAGGAACAAUGUCUAAUUCAUACUAUUUGAAAAUCUUUUGAUCCAGAAACCAUAAUUGUUGAUUAAGUUUGUGAUUAGUACUGAUUGUUGGUUUAAUAAUUUGUGAUUGAUACUACAAUUACUAGUGACUGGUGGUGUAUAAAACUGUGAUUAGUGCUUCUGCUUGUAGUGAUUACUGAUUUGCACAUGUGAUUUUUUGAAUUUA